RNAcentral lists this ribosomal RNA (245 nucleotides) under uncultured bacterium. RNAcentral's name for it is "partial small subunit ribosomal RNA". It matches the Rfam family "Bacterial small subunit ribosomal RNA", at positions 26 to 285 of the family's 1533-position model. The record is from RNAcentral.
AGAAUCAACGCUGGCGGCGUGCCUAACACAUGCAAGUCGCACGAGAAAGGGACUUCGGUCCUGAGUACAGUGGCGCACGGGUGAGUAACACGUGAAUCAUCUACCUCCGAGUGGGGAAUAACCUAGAGAAAUCUGGGCUAAUACCGCAUAACACUUACGAGUCAAAGCAGCAAUGCGCUUGGAGAGGAGUUCGCGGCAGAUUAGUUAGUUGGCGGGGUAAUGGCCCACCAAGACGAUGAUCUGUA